GAGUUUGAUCGUGGCUCAGGAUGAACGCUGGCGGCGUGCCUAAUACAUGCAAGUCGAGCGAACAGACGGGGAGCUUGCUCCCCUGACGUUAGCGGCGGACGGGUGAGUAACACGUGGGUAACCUACCUAUAAGACUGGAAUAACUCCGGGAAACCGGGGCUAAUGCCGGAUAACAUGUUGGACCGCAUGGUCCUACAGUGAAAGACGGUCUUGCUGUCACUUAUAGGUGGACCCGCGCCGUAUUAGCUAGUUGGUAAGGUAACGGCUUACCAAGGCAACGAUACGUAGCCGACCUGAGAGGGUGAUCGGCCACACUGGAACUGAGACACGGUCCAGACUCCUACGGGAGGCAGCAGUAGGGAAUCUUCCGCAAUGGGCGAAAGCCUGACGGAGCAACGCCGCGUGAGUGAUGAAGGCCUUCGGUC
RNAcentral lists this ribosomal RNA (425 nucleotides) under uncultured microorganism. RNAcentral describes it as "bacterial SSU rRNA". It matches the Rfam family "Bacterial small subunit ribosomal RNA", at positions 9 to 423 of the family's 1533-position model. The record is from RNAcentral.